Corticium candelabrum is the source of this 352-nucleotide long non-coding RNA. RefSeq lists it as uncharacterized. The record is from RefSeq and is a predicted model, not a curated record. The transcript has 3 exons. Lineage: Eukaryota; Metazoa; Porifera; Homoscleromorpha; Homosclerophorida; Plakinidae.
AAACAGAAAAGACUGUCAACGGAGAGGAAGCGAACAGCGACGGAAAUGCAGAUCUUAUCUAUGACAAAAUGUUUCCAUAAUGAAACGACAUCUAGCUUCUGUGACAACAUUAAUGAAAUUGUUGAUGAAGUGAACUUGUUUGUAGCAAGACGAACAGCAAAUUCUUUCAACUACCAGAAGUCUCACCAGCCACAGCAAUCAAAAAGACCCUACUCAAUUUGCAGUCAGCCGCCUGCUCUAUUUCUGCAGAAGUAGAUUUUGAUUGAGAAGCAAUAGUUGUUCCAACACCUGAAACUAAAGGCAUCGAUGGCAAUUAGUACACAAAUCUCUAAUCAAUGAAAUUGUAUCAUCU